CAGCACCUCAAGUGGUCAGGAUGAUUAUUGGGCCUAAAGCAUCCGUAGCCUGUUCUGUAAGUUUCCGGUUAAAUCCAUUAGCUCAACUAAUGGGCCGCCGAAAAUACUGCAUAACUAGGAAGUGGGAGAGGUAGACGGUACUCGGUAGGAAGGGGUAAAAUCCUUUGAUCUAUUGAUGACCACCUGUGGCGAAGGCGGUCUACCAGAACACGUUCGACGGUGAGGGAUGAAAGCUGGGGGAGCAAACCGGAUUAGAUACCCGAGUAGUCC
RNAcentral lists this ribosomal RNA (270 nucleotides) under uncultured archaeon. RNAcentral describes it as "partial 16S ribosomal RNA". It matches the Rfam family "Archaeal small subunit ribosomal RNA", at positions 477 to 747 of the family's 1478-position model. The record is from RNAcentral.